GAUGAACGCUGGCGGCGUGCCUAAUACAUGCAAGUCGAGCGAACGGACGAGAAGCUUGCUUCUCUGAUGUUAGCGGCGGACGGGUGAGUAACACGUGGAUAACCUACCUAUAAGACUGGGAUAACUUCGGGAAACCGGAGCUAAUACCGGAUAAUAUUUUGAACCGCAUGGUUCAACAGUGAAAGACGGUCUUGCUGUCCCUUAUAGAUGGAUCCGCGCUGCAUUAGCUAGUUGGUAAGGUAACGGCUUACCAAGGCAACGAUGCAUAGCCGAACUGAGAGGGUGAUCGGCCACACUGGAACUGAGACACGGUCCAGACUCCUACGGGAGGCAGCAGUAGGGAAUCUUCCGCAAUGGGCGAAAGCCUGACGGAGCAACGCCGCGUGAGUGAUGAAGGUCUUCGGAUCGUAAAGCUCUGUUAUUAGGGAGGAACAUAUGUGUAAGUAACUGUGCACAUCUUGACGGUACCUAAUCAGAAAGCCACGGCUAACUACGUG
RNAcentral lists this ribosomal RNA (497 nucleotides) under uncultured bacterium. Its description in RNAcentral is "partial 16S ribosomal RNA". It matches the Rfam family "Bacterial small subunit ribosomal RNA", at positions 28 to 507 of the family's 1533-position model. The record is from RNAcentral.